GGCGCACGGGUGCGUAACGCGUAUGCAACCUACCUUUAACAGGGGGAUAACACUGAGAAAUUGGUACUAAUACCCCAUAAUAUCAUAGAAGGCAUCUUUUAUGGUUGAAAAUUCCGAUGGUUAGAGAUGGGCAUGCGUUGUAUUAGCUAGUUGGUGGGGUAACGGCUCACCAAGGCGACGAUACAUAGGGGGACUGAGAGGUUAACCCCCCACACUGGUACUGAGACACGGACCAGACUCCUACGGGAGGCAGCAGUGAGGAAUAUUGGUCAAUGGACGCAAGUCUGAACCAGCCAUGCCGCGUGCAGGAUGACGGCUCUAUGAGUUGUAAACUGCUUUUGUACGAGGGUAAACGCAGAUACGUGUAUCUGUCUGAAAGUAUCGUACGAAUAAGGAUCGGCUAACUCCGUGCCAGCAGCCGCGGUAAUACGGAGGAUUCAAGCGUUAUCCGGAUUUAUUGGGUUUAAAGGGUGCGUAGGCGGUUUGAUAAGUUAGAGGUGAAAUUUCGGGGCUCAACCCUGAACGUGCCUCUAAUACUGUUGAG
Molecule: ribosomal RNA, 544 nt
Filed under: human gut metagenome
Description: bacterial SSU rRNA
Rfam family: Bacterial small subunit ribosomal RNA
Source: RNAcentral